AUUGAACGCUGGCGGCAGGCUUAACACAUGCAAGUCGAACGGAACCUUCGGGUUUAGUGGCGAACGGGUGAGUAAUACCUAGGAAUCUGCCUAUUAGUGGGGGAUAACGGCUCGAAAGGGUCGCUAAUACCGCAUACGUCCUACGGGAGAAAGAGGGGGAUCUUCGGACCUCUUGCUAAUAGAUGAGCCUAGGCCGGAUUAGCUAGUUGGUAGGGUAAAGGCCUACCAAGGCGACGAUCCGUAGCUGGUCUGAGAGGAUGAUCAGCCACACUGGAACUGAGACACGGUCCAGACUCCUACGGGUGGCUGCAGUCGAGAAUCUUCGGCAAUGGGGGAAACCCUGACCGAGCGACGCCGCGUGCGGGAUGAAGGCCCUCGGGUUGUAAACCGCUGUCGUAAGGGAACAAAUCUAAGAGGGUACUCCCUUUUAGUUGAGUGAUCUUAGGAGGAAGGACGGGCUAAGUUCGUGCCAGCAGCCGCGGUAAAGUACAGUGU
This 495-nucleotide ribosomal RNA is filed under the name uncultured bacterium. RNAcentral describes it as "bacterial SSU rRNA". It matches the Rfam family "Bacterial small subunit ribosomal RNA", at positions 30 to 533 of the family's 1533-position model. The record is from RNAcentral.